GGCAGUCUACAAACUGAGUGCACUGCUUACACAGGAGGAAACUGACAAAGAGGCCCCAGAGGAGGCAGAUUCUAGCCUGCAGCUUCCCCAUCCCUCAAAGCAUGCAGGUUAUGCUUCUUGAGAUGCAAAACUGAAAUCUAAUCACGAGGAGCCGUCACAUAAACCCAAUUUGAGGAACCUUCUACAAAACAACUGGCCUGUAACCUGGUUGCAGAGAGGAAAGGAGGAAAUUU
Molecule: long non-coding RNA, 233 nt
Filed under: Homo sapiens (human)
Lineage: Eukaryota; Metazoa; Chordata; Mammalia; Primates; Hominidae
Description: HSALNT0399101
Source: RNAcentral